GAUGAACGCUAGCGGCAGGCCUAACACAUGCGAGCCGAGCGGUAGCGACGCGUCGGGUUCUUGAGGGCGGCGUACGGGGGCGGAACACGUGUGUAACCUGCCUAUAUCAGGGGGAUAGCCUUUCGAAAGGAAGAUUAAUACCCCAUAAUAUAUUUGAUGGCAUCUUUAGAUAUUGAAAGCUUGAGCGGCUAGAGAUGGGCGCGCGCGAGAUUGGAUAGUAGGUGAGGUAACGGGUCACCAAGGCGAUGAACCCUCGGGGGCCUGAGAGGGUGAUCCCCCACCCGGGAACUGGGUCACGGACCAGACGCCUGCGGCAGGCAGCAGUGUGGAAUAUUGGACAGUGGGUUAGCGCCUGAUCCAGCCAUCCCGCGUGAAGGACGACGGCCCUGUGGGUUGUAAACUUCUUUUGUACAGGGAUAACCCUACUCUCGUGGGAGUAGCUGACGGUACUGUAAGAAUAAGCACCGGCUAACUCCGUG
Molecule: ribosomal RNA, 479 nt
Filed under: uncultured bacterium
Lineage: Bacteria
Description: partial 16S ribosomal RNA
Rfam family: Bacterial small subunit ribosomal RNA
Source: RNAcentral